ACUUUUUUCUGUUUUAAUCACGUUUUCCUAUAUAUGAUAUAAUGUGUGUGUGUAACAUUUAUACAUUUUUUUUAUUUAUUUUUUUUAAAGAAAAUUGCUGAAAGGAGGGCACAUCUAUGUCAAAUUGUUGAGGCUUUGCAAUACAGUUUCAGUACCCUGAUGGCACCAGGAAAACAAGGAAAUUUGUUGAGUCUCAACCAAUUCAGGAUCUGUUUGCCUUUGCUGGUUCAGACGACAUGGCCAGUGAAGUAUUCCGUGUACAGCUGUCCUGGUCACCGAACACUUUACUUAGUACUGUUGAUGGUAGCCUCUCAGAUCAUGAAAUUAGUAGGCCCUCAACCUUAUAUGUGCUUUGGAUGUCAGGUGUUCAAAUAGAGGAAUUAAUUGCAUCCAGUGUUGAAUCUUCAACUGACCAACUGGCUGCUACUCAGGACUUAGGAAGCAUCCCAAGUCCCCUCCAUUCCAGUGAUCAGGAUGUUGGCUUCUCCCCCUGCCCUGUUCCAGCUUUCUCACCACCAAUUGACAAUUCUUCACCCUCGUCACCGCCAUGGUCUUUCAUUUCUCUUUUCCCUUUACUAUUGCCACAUCUCCUAGUGGUCUUCAAACCUGGUCCUGGGAACCUGCCGCUCUGUACAUUUUGUCUGUAUUUUUUAUUUUACAUAUUUGAUUCAAAUCAGCUUGUUAAGUGGAAGCUGCAUUAACUGAACCAACUGGUCAGAUAAGAGAUAAAUACAACAUUUCCAGAGCUGUGGGAUUGAAACCGAUUGUUCUUGUUUGUAAAAUGUAAGAUUACACACAGAUUUACUAACAGCUUGCUCCAGCGCAAACCAUCUUUUGGGGUCACAAAAGUACUGUCAGGAUUUACCAAAGACACGCAGUGAAAAAAUAAUCAAUUUAUUGGUAUUUGUGCCAUUAUUUACAGGCCAAAAAAACGUGACUCAUUUUGCAGCUGUUUUGUCACACAUACAUGAUUAUCAGUGGCUUUGAUGUGGUGUGUUCAAUAGAUCAUCGCUUUCCACUACCAAUGGCACUUUUAUGGAUUUGUGCUCUCACGCUAAUUUGCCCUGUUUAGUAAAUCUGGCCCUAAGUUUAAUACAGUUUGUUGUGUGGAAUUGUGUCUUGACUAAGUUAUGCAAUUAAAUGCAAUUAAUGUAGUUAUACUAAGUUAUGCAUUUUUUUUUUUACUUUACAGUGAAGUUUAUGCAUUAGAUUCUGAAGAUGAGGAGGAUGUGGUGAUGUUGACCUCACCUGUUUAUUCUGACAAUGAAAUUGAUGUAAUUAUGCAACCAUACCUUUAAAAGUCAUAAUAAUUUCUAUUAAUUUAUAAUAAUAAUAAUAUUUUUUUUUUUGUUAUUUUAAUGACUUAGGAUGACGUUUCUGCUGCUGACAUCAUCAGAACAUUUCAGAGGGAAAAUCUAAAUUUGGAAGAAAGGGUGAUUGUAGUGGCCAGAAGGAGGAAAAUUCUUCAUAGUGCAUGUACUGCACUGAAAACUAGCUACUUUGCAUGGCACAAAUCCCCACAAAUUGAAUUUGUAGGUGAAAGUGCUGAUGACUAUGGGGGACCUAGCAGAGAAUUUUUCAGGUUGGUCUUAACUAUUUAUCAUGUGUAUGUAAUAAUAUAUUUAUCAAAUAUUAUGUGAUGUCUUUUUUUGGUGCAUCACACCAUAGCAUAGAAACUGGUGCCAUCCUGUGUCUCAAGUAUCAAUUGAAUAUGGUUUAAAAUAUGACCUCAUAGUACUGCAAUAUCAAUAUUAAAGUAAUAUUGUGGCAGUGUUCCUCUUGUUGCUUGGCCAACAGUUUUGUACCCUGUAAUGGACUGUUUUCUUUUUCUUAGCAUAAGCUUUGUGAUAAUGUGUGUGUGUGUGUGUGUGUGUGUGUGUGUGUGUGUGUGUGUGUGUGUGUUUGUUAGAAAUUUAACUUAAAUCAGUACUACAUGACCACAAUUAUUUGGUGUAGCCGUGUAUGAAAUUUAAAAAACAUAUUAUAGUUAGCUGGCCACUAUUAUCCAAAUAAAACGUGACAGUCAUAUAUUUUUUUUAUUUUGCUCUGAUAAUUUGCUUUACAAUUAUUAUUAAUAAGCACAAAAUGUAGGCUUUCAUUUCCAUAUCAAUUCAAUUAUUUAAUUGUAUUUGGGCUCUUUAUUUAUCUAGGCUUCUGAUGCAGGGUGUGCAGUCAUCAUUCGGAGUUUUUGAGGGGAAAACAGGCCAGAUGUUUUUCACGUAUGACCAAGUGGCUGUGGAAAAAAAGCGUUAUUACACAGCAGGAAAGCUCAUUUCUUGGUCUCUAAUGCACGGUGGACCUAGUUUCAAUGCACUAAAUACCACAUUGUACAAAUUAAUGUGUGGCAAGGCAGAUUCUGCCGAAGAAUUUGAUUGGCAGGACCUGCCAGAUGGGGAAAUUCAGGAUAAAGUGCGGCAGGUAUGCAUCUUCACACCGUUCAAACAGAAGGCAUUUAUGAUUUGUGAGAGUAAUGGAGUUUCUUUCUUUUAAGGUUUUUUUUUUGUCAGACCCAAGAAGACAAAGACCGAAUAGUGUCAAGCCUGGGAGACUGGAUUGCUGACUGUGGUGUGCCUGGAAUUUUCAGUGCAGCACCUAAUAUGAGACGGAUCUAUGGUCAGCUAAUCAAACACCACAUUUACUUCAGGUAUAAAACUCAAAAUAAUUUACAUUUUAAUCAGUCUACAGUUCUUUGAAUCAUGUUUUUUUUAAUGGCCUUCACUAAUAUUGGCAAAUAUGAGUAAAAUCCAGCUAUUUCAGAUCCCGGCUUGUGUUACUUCAUCUACUUCCAAAUGGUUUGGAAUGAAAGACAAAAAGGAUAAAUAGCUAAGACAAUUUUACAUGCUCAAAUUUACAACGGUAGACAAUUAUUGUGGAGGACACUUAAUUCAUAAAAAUGUUUUUUUUU
Molecule: long non-coding RNA, 2905 nt
Filed under: Carassius auratus (goldfish)
Lineage: Eukaryota; Metazoa; Chordata; Actinopteri; Cypriniformes; Cyprinidae
Description: lncRNA (ENSCARG00000062081.1)
Source: RNAcentral